RNAcentral lists this ribosomal RNA (307 nucleotides) under uncultured Bacillota bacterium. Its description in RNAcentral is "bacterial SSU rRNA". It matches the Rfam family "Bacterial small subunit ribosomal RNA", at positions 29 to 351 of the family's 1533-position model. The record is from RNAcentral. Lineage: Bacteria; Bacillati; Bacillota.
AAUGAACGUUGGCGGCGUGGAUUAGGCAUGCAAGUCGAGCGCGAUUUCCCGCAAGGGAAGGAAAGCGGCGAAAGGGAGAGGAACACGUGGAUUAUCUACCCUCCGGCCUGGGAUAGCUACGGGAAACUGUAGGUAAUACCAGAUGACGUCUUCGGACCAAAGGUGUGAUUCCACCGGGGGAUGAGUUCGCGUCCUAUUAGCUUGUUGGUGGGGUAACGGCCCACCAAGGCCAUGAUGGGUACCGGGUGUGAGAGCAUGGCCCGGCUCACUGGGACUGAGACACUGCCCAGACACCUACGGGUGGCAG